This 443-nucleotide unclassified non-coding RNA is filed under the name Hevea brasiliensis (rubber tree). The record is from RNAcentral. Lineage: Eukaryota; Viridiplantae; Streptophyta; Magnoliopsida; Malpighiales; Euphorbiaceae.
ACCAAUCUUAGCGAAGCUUGAGAAACUAAAUGUGUUCAAACUGAGUGGGGGAUCUAGCCAGCCUGAUAACCAAAUUCAAGAAGUAGCUUUGACUGUGGAAAAGAAAGAAAUUGCUGCAGUUCAGCCACCCGAAGACCGUGCCAGCAUGAUACAAGCUGCUCGGGAACGAUUUCUAGCUCGGAAAGGUCAGAAGUAGCAUUACAAUGGUUGUUCGACAGAUUAACUGGUUAUGCGCAUGCACUGUCCUUGCCACAAAAUUGGCUGCUACUCAGCUGGAAGUGGAGUGUAACCCUUUCUUAAUAUUCAUGAUGGGAGGGUGUAAUUCUCCCACUUGAUGCAGAAAUCUGGCCCAUCUGAUUCAUGAGUGGCACCAAAAGGUUUUUGAAGAAUGGUCAGAUGAAUUAUAUAUACCUUUCUCGGGCUUUGAGUAAGAUCAAGUGUAG